CGAACGCUGGCGGCAUGCCUACCACAUGCAAGUCGACCGAGACCUUCGGGUCUAGUGGCGCACGGGUGCGUAACGCGUGGGAACCUGCCCUUAGGUUCGGAAUAACUCCCCGAAAGGGGUGCUAAUACCGGAUAAUGUCUUCGGACCAAAGAUUUAUCGCCUUUGGAUGGGCCCGCGUUGGAUUAGCUAGUUGGUAGGGUAAAAGCCUACCAAGGCGACGAUCCAUAGCUGGUCUGAGAGGAAGAUCAGCCACACUGGGACUGAGACACGGCCCAGACUCCUACGGGAGGCAGCAGUGGGGAAUAUUGGACAAUGGGCGAAAGCCUGAUCCAGCAAUGCCGCGUGAGUGAUGAAGGCCUUAGGGUUGUAAAGCUCUUUUACCCGGGAUGAUAAUGACAGUACCGGGAGAAUAAGCUCCGGCUAACUCCGUG
Molecule: ribosomal RNA, 431 nt
Filed under: uncultured bacterium
Lineage: Bacteria
Description: partial 16S ribosomal RNA
Rfam family: Bacterial small subunit ribosomal RNA
Source: RNAcentral